CCACAAUGGACGAAAGUCUGAUGGAGCGACGCCGCGUGGUUGAUGAAGUCCUUCGGGACGUAAAAACCUUUUAUGGAGGAGGAAGUAAUUGACGUUACUCCAUGAAUAAGGGGCUCCUAACUCUGUGCCAGCAGGAGCGGUAAUACAGAGGCCCCAAGCAUUAUCCGGAAUCACUGGGCGUAAAGGGUGCGUAGGCGGUCGUAUUAGUCUUUUGUAAAAGCUCCUCGGCUUAACCGAGGAAAUGCAAAAAGAAACGGUACGACUUUGAGGAUGUGAGAGGUACAGGGAACUCAUGGUGUAGGGGUGAAAUCCGUUGAUAUCAUGGGGAACACCAAAUGCGAAGGCACUGUACUGGCACACUCCUGACGCUGAGGCACGAAAGCGUGGGAAUCGAACGGGAUUAGAUACCCCUGUA
RNAcentral lists this ribosomal RNA (415 nucleotides) under uncultured organism. Its description in RNAcentral is "bacterial SSU rRNA". It matches the Rfam family "Bacterial small subunit ribosomal RNA", at positions 366 to 792 of the family's 1533-position model. The record is from RNAcentral.